AUACGGAGGGUGCAAGCGUUAAUCGGAAUUACUGGGCGUAAAGCGCGCGUAGGCGGCUAUGUAAGUCGGAUGUGAAAGCCCUGGGCUUAACCUGGGAACUGCAUUCGAUACUGGCAGGCUAGAGUAUAGUAGAGGCAAGUGGAAUUUCGGGUGUAGCGGUGAAAUGCGUAGAUAUCCGAAGGAACAUCAGUGGCGAAGGCGACUUGCUGGACUAAUACUGACGCUGAGGAGCGAAAGCGUGGGGAGCAAACGGGAUUAGAUACCCCAGUAGUCC
Molecule: ribosomal RNA, 274 nt
Filed under: uncultured bacterium
Lineage: Bacteria
Description: partial 16S ribosomal RNA
Rfam family: Bacterial small subunit ribosomal RNA
Source: RNAcentral